This 253-nucleotide ribosomal RNA is filed under the name uncultured bacterium. RNAcentral describes it as "partial 16S ribosomal RNA". It matches the Rfam family "Bacterial small subunit ribosomal RNA", at positions 524 to 776 of the family's 1533-position model. The record is from RNAcentral.
UACGUAGGGGGCAAGCGUUGUCCGGAAUUAUUGGGCGUAAAGGGCUCGUAGGCGGUUUGUCGCGUCGGGAGUGAAAUCAUCUGGCUUAACUGGGUGCUUGCUUUCGAUACGGGCAGACUAGAGGUAUGCAGGGGAGAACGGAAUUCCUGGUGUAGCGGUGAAAUGCGCAGAUAUCAGGAGGAACACCGGUGGCGAAGGCGGUUCUCUGGGCAUGACCUGACGCUGAGGAGCGAAAGUGUGGGGAGCGAACAGG